Molecule: ribosomal RNA, 857 nt
Filed under: uncultured bacterium
Lineage: Bacteria
Description: bacterial SSU rRNA
Rfam family: Bacterial small subunit ribosomal RNA
Source: RNAcentral
GGCAGCAUUUUUCUAGCAAUAGAAGAGAUGGCGACCGGCGCACGGGUGAGUAACACGUAUCCAACCUACCGAUAACUCUGGAAUAGCCUUUCGAAAGAAAGAUUAAUACCGGAUAGUAUACGAAUAUCGCAUGAUAUUUUUAUUAAAGAAUUUCGGUUAUCGAUGGGGAUGCGUUCCAUUAGUUUGUUGGCGGGGUAACGGCCCACCAAGACUACGAUGGAUAGGGGUUCUGAGAGGAAGGUCCCCCACAUUGGAACUGAGACACGGUCCAAACUCCUACGGGAGGCAGCAGUGAGGAAUAUUGGUCAAUGGACGUAAGUCUGAACCAGCCAAGUAGCGUGAAGGAUGACUGCCCUAUGGGUUGUAAACUUCUUUUAUAUGGGAAUAAAGUAUUCCACGUGUGGGAUUUUGUAUGUACCAUAUGAAUAAGGAUCGGCUAACUCCGUGCCAGCAGCCGCGGUAAUACGGAGGAUCCGAGCGUUAUCCGGAUUUAUUGGGUUUAAAGGGAGCGUAGGUGGAUUGUUAAGUCAGUUGUGAAAGUUUGCGGCUCAACCGUAAAAUUGCAGUUGAAACUGGUAGUCUUGAGUACAGUAGAGGUGGGCGGAAUUCGUGGUGUAGCGGUGAAAUGCUUAGAUAUCACGAAGAACUCCGAUUGCGAAGGCAGCUCACUAGACUGUCACUGACACUGAUGCUCGAAAGUGUGGGUAUCAAACAGGAUUAGAUACCCUGGUAGUCCACACAGUAAACGAUGAAUACUCGCUGUUUGCGAUAUACAGUAAGCGGCCAAGCGAAAGCAUUAAGUAUUCCACCUGGGGAGUACGCCGGCAACGGUGAAACUCAAAGGAAUUGACGGGGGC